AAUACCGCAUAAAAUAUCGGAGUCGCAUGGCACUGAUAUCAAAGGAGCAAUCCGCUGAAAGAUGGGCUCGCGUCCGAUUAGGCAGUUGGCGGGGUAACGGCCCACCAAACCGACAAUCGGUAGCCGGACUGAGAGGUUGAACGGCCACAUUGGGACUGAGACACGGCCCAGACUCCUACGGGAGGCAGCAGUGGGGGAUAUUGCACAAUGGGGGAAACCCUGAUGCAGCGAUGCCGCGUGAAUGAAGACGGCCUUCGGGUUGUAAAGUUCUGUCGCAGGGGACGAAAAUGACGGUACCCUGCAAGAAGGCUCCGGCUAACUACGUGCCAGCAGCCGCGGUAAUACGUAGGGAGCAAGCGUUGUCCGGAAUUACUGGGUGUAAAGGGAGCGUAGGCGGGAGGAUAAGUUGAAUGUGAAAUCUAUGGGCUCAACCCAUAAGCUGCGUUCAAAACUGUUCUUCUUGAGUGAAGUAGAGGCAGGCGGAAUUCCUAGUGUAGCGGUGAAAUGCGUAGAUAUUAGGAGGAACACCAGUGGCGAAGGCGGCCUGCUGGGCUUUUACUGACGCUGAGGCUCGAAAGCGUGGGUAGCAAACAGGAUUAGAUACCCUGGUAGUCCACGCGGUAAACGAUGAAUAGUAGGUGUGGGUGGACUGACCCCAUCCGUGCCGGAG
This 670-nucleotide ribosomal RNA is filed under the name uncultured bacterium. Its description in RNAcentral is "bacterial SSU rRNA". It matches the Rfam family "Bacterial small subunit ribosomal RNA", at positions 165 to 851 of the family's 1533-position model. The record is from RNAcentral.